UGCCAGCCGCCGCGGUAAUACGGAGGGUCCGAGCGUUAUCCGGAAUCAUUGGGUUUAAAGGGUCCGCAGGCGGUCAAUUAAGUCAGAGGUGAAAUCCCAUAGCUUAACUAUGGAACUGCCUUUGAUACUGGUUGACUUGAGUCAUAUGGAAGUAGAUAGAAUGUGUAGUGUAGCGGUGAAAUGCAUAGAUAUUACACAGAAUACCAAUUGCGAAGGCAGAUCACUAACACUAUAUUGACGCUGAGGUGCGAAAGCGUGGGGAGCAAACAGGAUUAGAUA
Molecule: ribosomal RNA, 279 nt
Filed under: uncultured bacterium
Lineage: Bacteria
Description: partial 16S ribosomal RNA
Rfam family: Bacterial small subunit ribosomal RNA
Source: RNAcentral